Molecule: non-coding RNA, 112 nt
Organism: Pan troglodytes (chimpanzee)
Lineage: Eukaryota; Metazoa; Chordata; Mammalia; Primates; Hominidae
Product: microRNA mir-3192
Exons: 1
Source: RefSeq, marked provisional
GGAAAGACAGAGGAAGGGAUUCUGGGAGGUUGUAGCAGUGGAAAAAGUUCUUUUCUUCCUCUGAUCGCCCUCUCAGCUCUUUCCUUCUGACUGAAAAUCAUCUUCAGCACCU